Acipenser ruthenus (sterlet) is the source of this 2315-nucleotide long non-coding RNA. RefSeq lists it as uncharacterized. The transcript is spliced from 3 exons. The record is from RefSeq and is a predicted model, not a curated record. NCBI's taxonomy places the organism in Eukaryota, Metazoa, Chordata, Actinopteri, Acipenseriformes, Acipenseridae.
GAGGCUGCGCUUGUUGAGCCUGGAUGAUAUGGAGCGGCUGGCGACCCGCAUGCUUCACCCUGAGGCUGUGGAGUGCAUGGAGCUGUCCUUCCUAGACUGAGGAAUACUGCUGCUGCCCUCUCCACCCCUCCCCUCUCUUCUCCCCUCUCCCCUCUCCCCUCUAUCCUCUCCUCUUUACUCUCUCCUCCCCCUCUCCUUACUUUGUUUAAAAGAAUAGAAGCACACCCAGUGAGCAAGGCAUUGAGCAGCCCCACAUCCCGCUUCACAAUACCGCUACAUAUUGACUGACUGUUCGCAUUGUGUGUGUUUGGUAAGACAAACCACAUUUUCUACUUUCUACGAUUGGGCAAGUCAGCGGUUGUUUGAUAACAGAACAUAAAACAUCAGAGCGGGUCGAACUGCGAUGCUGCAAAUCAAGGCCCUUUAAAAUGUGUACCUUCCCAGCUUAGGUAUUGCUGAAGAGACACUUCCUACAGGAGGACAGGACGUUGUCAAGGAGGGGAUGUCGUGUCCUGAGGGCUUUCUUAAAAACAUUGUUUUAUUAUUUCUAACCGUAUGUUGUUCUUGCCUUUUAGCUCUUGAGCAUAAUAAUCUCAAUCCCGUUUGAAAUUACACUAAAUGCAUUUGCAUGGUGCAGAUGAGGGAUGUCACUUCACUCGAGGCGUGCGUACUGAUGAAGAUGUAGUUUCAGUGUUUAAUGCUCAUCCCCUCACUGUGUGUCUGUGUGUGUUCUUGUCUCUCGCCUGUCCUGUGAGGAUGAAGAUGUAGUUUCAGUGUUUAAUGCUCAUCCCCUCACUGUGUGUCUGUGUGUGUUCUUGUCUCUCGCCUGUCCUGUGAGGAUGAAGAUGUAGUUUCAGUGUUUAAUGCUCAUCCCCUCACUGUGUGUCUGUGUGUGUUCUUGUCUCUCGCCUGUCCUGUGAGGAUGAAGAUGUAGUUUCAGUGUUUAAUGCUCAUCCCCUCACUGUGUGUCUGUGUGUGUUCUUGUCUCUCGCCUGUCCUGUGAGGAUGAAGAUGUAGUUUCAGUGUUUAAUGCUCAUCCCCUCACUGUGUGUCUGUGUGUGUUCUUGUCUCUCGCCUGUCCUGUGAGGAUGAAGAUGUAGUUUCAGUGUUUAAUGCUCAUCCCCUCACUGUGUGUCUGUGUGUGUUCUUGUCUCUCGCCUGUCCUGUGAGGAUGAAGAUGUAGUUUCAGUGUUUAAUGCUCAUCCCCUCACUGUGUGUCUGUGUGUGUUCUUGUCUCUUGACAGGUCUGUGAGGAUGAGAAGGUCUCCACAGUCUGGAGUCUGGUCUCUGACAGGCUCAACAUACCUGUCAAUCAACAGGGACUCCUCUACAAAGGCAAGGCGCUGGCAGAUGAGCACAGACUGUCACACGACUCCAUCACUCCCGAUUCCAAGCUGAACUUGUUGUGACGCCCCCAACAGAGAAAGUAUCACCCGAGCAAGAACAGCACUCCCUGUGUCACCCCUCCUCUCAGACCUCACCCCUCACCCUCGCCUCACCCCUCCUGUCACACCUCACCCCUCGCCACACCCCUCCUCUCACCCCUCGCCUCAACCCUCCUCUCACUCCUCGCCUCACCCCGGGUCAGUGUGGCACAGCCUGCCUGCUCUUCUGAACAAACACUUCAGUCCUGCCGACGCAGUGAGAGUCUGGAGCAGCAACACAAGGAUUACGAGCGGAGGCUGCGCUUGUUGAGCCUGGAUGAUAUGGAGCGGCUGGCGACUCGCAUGCUUCACCCUGAGGCUGUGGAGAGCUGUCCUUCCUAGACUGAGGAAUACUGCUGCUGCCCUCUCCACCCCUCCCCUCUCUCCUCCCCUCCCCCUCUCCUCUCCUUACUUUGUUUAAAAGAAUAGAAGCACACCCAGUGAGCAAGGCAUUGAGCAACCCCACAUCCCGCUUCACAAUACCGCUACAUAUUGACUGACUGUUCGCAUUGUGUGUGUUUGGUAAGACAAACCACAUUUUCUACUUUCUGCUAUUUUAAAAGGAGCCCAGUUUGUUGCAGGAGGCUUGUGGGUAACAGUGUGUGUUUUUGCUGGGGACUGCAGCCCUUCCAUUACCAUUGCUCAUAGAGGGGAGAUUGUUUUACUUUCAAGCCUUUUUCUUUAAUAAAUCCGGACGUUUGGAAAUACAUACUGUGUGGACAUUUCCCUUCUUCAUGGCUCCAUGCAGCAUCCUGUCACACAACAAGCCCUGAAAGGGGAUCUAUACAUAUUUAUUCUCAAUCACCAGGCAGUAAUCGCAGCUACAAUACAGACACACAACGUGUCACUUUUAUUGGCUGAAACUUUAAACUACGACUAGAAGCCUCUGAA